RNAcentral lists this transfer RNA (70 nucleotides) under Sarophorus sp. SAR01. RNAcentral's name for it is "tRNA-Asp". It matches the Rfam family "tRNA". From Rfam's summary of the family: Transfer RNA (tRNA) molecules are approximately 80 nucleotides in length. Their secondary structure includes four short double-helical elements and three loops (D, anti-codon, and T loops). Further hydrogen bonds mediate the characteristic L-shaped molecular structure. tRNAs have two regions of fundamental functional importance: the anti-codon, which is responsible for specific mRNA codon recognition, and the 3' end, to which the tRNAs corresponding amino acid is attached (by aminoacyl-tRNA synthetases). tRNAs cope with the degeneracy of the genetic code in two manners: having more than one tRNA (with a specific anti-codon) for a particular amino acid; and 'wobble' base-pairing, i.e. permitting non-standard base-pairing at the 3rd anti-codon position. The record is from RNAcentral. Lineage: Eukaryota; Metazoa; Arthropoda; Insecta; Coleoptera; Scarabaeidae.
AAAAAUUUAGUUAAAAAUAAUAACAUUAGCCUGUCAAGCUAAAAUUACUUCUUAAUACAAGUAAUUUUUA